This 253-nucleotide ribosomal RNA is filed under the name uncultured prokaryote. Its description in RNAcentral is "partial 16S ribosomal RNA". It matches the Rfam family "Bacterial small subunit ribosomal RNA", at positions 524 to 776 of the family's 1533-position model. The record is from RNAcentral.
UACGUAGGGAGCAAGCGUUGUCCGGAAUCAUUGGGCGUAAAGCGCGCGUAGGUGGCCUCAUAAGUCCGCUGUGAAAGUCAAAGGCUCAACCUUUGAAAGCCGGUGGAUACUGUGAGGCUAGAGUACGGAAGAGGCGAGUGGAAUUCCUGGUGUAGCGGUGGAAUGCGUAGAUAUUGGGAGGAACACCAGUGGCGAAGGCGGCUCACUGGACCGGUACUGACGCUGAUGCGCGAAAGCGUGGGGAGCAAACGGG